GGGUGUGGGCAGGGGGCGGAGCUAAGCCCCGUGGCACCGACGCGAUGCGCAACGCAGGGCAGAAGGGCGCAAUCUUUGGUCACGUUUAGCUCCGAUUACGAAAGUGGAGUAACUGCUAUAGCAGCACAUCACCAUCUUCCAAGGCUACAUUCUCUGUCGUAUUCCAAGCCAACGUCUACUGCUUCCUGAAUUCAAUCCAGUGAUGGAAAGCAAAUAGGAAACACACCACGUUUAGGAAGCAAACGCGGCGUUGGAGAAAUCUGACAAGGCACAUUUACCAAGCUAGAAAUAGAAGUCAGAAUCUACAGCGUUCAGUUGCUGGCGUCUGUUCUUGGGUUUUAUUAAUGAUAGACCAAAACCGAAACAGUUGUUCACGUUCCCGUAUUGGAAAUGAAUUCCAUCUGCAUCGUUAUGAUAGCGUGUAGUAAACUGAACCAAAUGAGGAAAAUCUCGUGAGCAAAGGUGGUGACAAAUCUUUCCCCGAUUGCCAGGGUAAUCAGGGACAGGAACAUCAAAUGAAACAAAUGAACGUGCCGUAAAUAAAUCUGUCCAGAACUACUUGAAGUCUCUAGGAAGCACCACAAAAGAAAGGACAUAUUGAUGCUGCCACCACGGAGGAGCCCAGUUUGUCUUGAAAAUAAAUGAGCAAAUGAACAGUAAUCUAAGCUUAGGCACAAAGUCCAAAGUUUUCAAGUGCAAAAAAUGUAUCAAAGCCCAUCUGGGAAUAGCUCUCCAGAAUAGCUAACCUAGCAUUCGCAGAAGAUUGAAUACACAAGAAGAAUGUAUCUUAAGCCGUGAAAAACCUCGGAGGAUGGGAUGGGAGUGCUUAAAUAGUUUGAAAAGUACAUUCUAAAUUUACCUUUCCUUUGAUUUCUUUUUAUUCACAAAAUUUAUUUUGAAAUUUCAAUCAUCAUUAAAGGAAAAUACAACGAUUGUAUGUUUACCAAAAGAGGGCUUAAGGUUAAAAAAAAAAAAAAAAAGGUAAGGUUAACAAUUACUCCAUAGGAUGGUGUCUCACACAUGUUUAGUUGUGAACCAACAACCCGAAGCUGUCACAACUUCCAGUAUCUUUGCUUGCCUGGGAACUGUUAUCCAUGGGCAAAUUAGCCUUGGCUGAACUGGCUUCUCCACGGCUAGACAGACAUUUCUCUUACCGGAAAGUAUUUGGGAAUCCCAGUGUACAAACAGCAAUUAGCAAGUAUAACAUGCUGAGGAAGUUCUCAGUCACUUCCAUAUGGGACAAUGGUUGCCCCUUCACCAUGAAUUCAAUGGGAAGCCUGAAUUGGAUGUAUUCCAGUUUUCAAGUCCAUUUAAGUCAUCACCUUUGGGAUCAACCGUUUUUGUCUUCUCAGUAUGGCUUCAAAUAUCAUAUAGAUAUAGGUCUUAAACUCUAUAAGAAUUUAAAUAUCUGGCAGUCUAAGAAUACAUGAAACAUCUUUGGAAUAAUACCCCUAUUACUAUUUUAGAGCAUUAAAUUCAUAAUGACUCAGAGUCCUCCUGAAUCGUCUAUUCCUCAUUAAAUAGUGCACUAUUUAAGUGGCUUCUGCUUUGGUAUUUAUGAAUACGUUUCUUCCAGCAGUUCAAAGAUCCUUACAAACAUCAUCACACUCUUUUCAGAACAACUGAAUAUCAGCAAGUUUUACUUUUGUUGUUAAAUAGAGAAAUGAAAACGCAGGUGAGAACAUCUCAUGGCAGUAAUAGAGCUAAACUAUGGGGGAGAAGUUGCCCAAUUUUCCAUCCUGUACAUUUUUGCCUUUCCCAAAGCCACAAUGAAAUGAAAACUGAAAAUGAUUAAGAGAACAGUGUUCAUUGUUUGUGCUUGCUCUCUCACUCGUGUGCAAUCCCUCUCUAAGGUUUUAUAUGUAUAUAUAUAUAUAUAUAUAUGUAUACACGUAUAUAUGUGUGUAUAUAUAUAUAUAUAUAAAGAGAACUUUAUAUAAAGUUCUCUUAAGGUAUUAGCAAAGAGAAAGUAUAUAUACAUGUAUGUUGAGUAUAUGUAUACUCAAGUAUAUUUCUCUAGCUACUAAGAAGUUUUUAUGAGUCUCAGAAGUAUGAAGUCCUUGAAUAUUACUUCGACGCACUUGAAUCACUAAUAAUAUUCACCUUUGGACAGAUUAUCUCAUAGGUUUGGCAAGGAUAAAAAUUUUAAAAAAGUUACCAGUACCCAUGGUAACAAAGUAUAACCAUCUUCUCCAUAGUUAAACACGUUAAACUUUACUUUAUAAAGGUGCUCUGUGAUUUUGAA
Long non-coding RNA from Felis catus (domestic cat), 2245 nucleotides. RefSeq lists it as uncharacterized. The record is from RefSeq and is a predicted model, not a curated record. Lineage: Eukaryota; Metazoa; Chordata; Mammalia; Carnivora; Felidae. The transcript has 2 exons.